GGCAGAACCGUGGCCGUGACAGGUACGCUGCCGGCCACUCGCUCUGGGGCGCCCACAUGGAUCGGCUCCCGCGGAAAGCAGGACACAUCCAGGGCACUGCUGGACAGGCCAAGGGUGGCCGUGCUGGCUGCGAACAGAUACACGGACAGACAGGACAAAGGUUCAUCUUCCUGGGAGGUGAUCUUUCCUGAUCACUACUCCCUCCAACCUCAAGCACAGCAACAUCUGUUGAACAACUGCAUGCAUUUGAAGAGCAAAGAGGGAGUGCCCAGAGAACCCAGGCAGUGCCUGAUUUUCCUGUAAUAAAGCAAGGGCGGUAAAAGCAUUUAAUAAAGAGUUGGUUGAACAGGGACCAGAACAAAGCACCUGGCAUGCAAGAGCCUGAUCCAGAUAUUGCACUGACAGUCAUGGAAUGAAUGAAUCAGCGAGCUGGGAGUAAAGAGUGGUCAAUAACAUAUGGAGAAGAAACAAAUGGUACGGAAAGCCAUAAAUGGCUUACCAUUCUUGCCUUAGGCUAGAACACUACUAUUUUCUCCUUCUGUGCUGCUCAGAGGCUGGGGGAGGAGGGGAUAAAGUGGGAGGUCCCGGCCACUGUGAAGGUUGUCAUUGGCAGUCCUCAGCUGUCAGCCUCUCUCCGAAUUGCCCUCAGCCAGAGGAGCUGCCUCGCCCAAGUGCCCUCUCCUGGAAGCAGCCAUCUGUUGACUAGUCGAUACGGGGUAUAAAGGCGCCGCCCCCUUGCCUCAAUUGGGGAUGUCUCUCCUGGGCCAUCUCGGUUCCAGAGCUUCCCUGGGGACAGGCUGAGGGCUCCUUUGAGACUACAUGAGCAGUUCAACUUCUUCCUCUGCCCAACCACCCUGCGGUCUUCACUCCCCUGCAGGUGAUACCCCCAAGGGCACUCCAAUACACCUACACUCACAUCUCCCUCUGAGUCUGUUUCCGGGGAACCUGACCUAAAACGAUCCUUGGAUACUCAGCACGGAGCGCUGUCUGGCACAUAGCAGAUGCUCAAUAAAUAUUUAUUGAAUGAA
This is a long non-coding RNA of Equus quagga, 1028 nucleotides long. RefSeq lists it as uncharacterized. The record is from RefSeq and is a predicted model, not a curated record. The transcript has 3 exons. NCBI's taxonomy places the organism in Eukaryota, Metazoa, Chordata, Mammalia, Perissodactyla, Equidae.